This 8179-nucleotide unclassified non-coding RNA is filed under the name Polistes canadensis. Its description in RNAcentral is "triple functional domain protein, transcript variant X2". Lineage: Eukaryota; Metazoa; Arthropoda; Insecta; Hymenoptera; Vespidae. The record is from RNAcentral.
UACUGGGUUAAGCCGUGACCGAAAUACAGUGGAAGAAUAGGGGCGCGUAUGUGUUAUAUCACAGUUGGUUACCUAAAUUAAUCUUCGUUAUUCAUGGAUUUUGUAUUGUAUAAAAAUUAGAAGAUCGUGCUGCCGCCUGCGAGGCGUCAAUACAGAGGAGAGAACUUAGUGUAAUUUGGAAAUCGCGUGGAUAUUAUCGUAUGAAAUAAAAGUAGGAUUUAAAAAUUGAGGUUGAUGAAAUAAAUUAAAGAUGGCACGAUUUAACGUUAAUGCAUUAUCAAUGCAGUUAGUAAAACAUGAUUCCGAAUGAGAGUUGAUGAUUCACCAUAAAUAUGUGCAGAAGCCAUAAGAUCUUUCUUCGAUGGAAUGCAGGUACUUCACCGAAGAAGGAAAGAAAGUUUAAUCCUGCGAAUCUCUGACUGAAAAUUAGAUAGAUCAUAAGCAAACUAUAUAUAUACUUAACACAAUGGAUGGCAUAAGAGCAGCAGAAGUUUUACCCCUACUUCAAGAACGUUUGGCUAUACUACCAGGUGGACGAGACCGUAGAGGAGGUCCAGUUAUUGUUUUUCCGACUACCCCAAGAAGAGAACGUGCUAAACCAGAAGACUAUCGUCGUUUAUUGCAAUACCUUUUAGCCGUUCCUGACGAUGAAACCAGAGAUCUAAGAUUUACUGUGAUAGUGGAUAUGCGUGGUGCUACUUGGGAUUCUGUGAAAACAAUUUUAAAGGUAUUACAUGAAUACUUUCAUCGAUCGGUAUAUGUUGCACUCAUCAUAAAGCCAGAGAAUUUUUGGCAGAAGCAAAGGACAUCAUUAGCUAAACAGAAAAAAUAUAAUUUUGAGAUCAAUACAAUUAGUUUAGAAGCUCUCACAAAAGUUAUAGAUCCCUCUCAACUGACAUCUGAUUUGGAUGGCUCGUUAGAGUAUGAUCAUAGUCAGUGGAUCGAAACAAGACUAGCUGUAGAAGAUUUUACCUGGCAAGCUGCUGAUCUUUUAGAUAGGUUGGAUGAUUUACAAGAAGAUCUUAGUCGUAAUGAUUUUGCUGAUGACGUUGGAGGUGCUAAACAUGGUAUUGACCUUCAUAAUGAAAUGAAAAAGAAAAUUUUGAAAAUUCCUGUUGAAGAAAUAGAAGUUGUUGCUCAACGUUUACUUCAAAAAUUCGACAGCAUGUCGACGUCAGGUGGAGAGGGAGGAAGUAUCGAAAGUGGCGCAGUAGGUGGAACAGAUUCAGAUGGUCAGGCAUUAGCGACAUUAGUUAUACAGCAUUUAGAAUCUGUUCAUGCAUCGCAACGGCAUCUCUUGCAAUUGUGGCAUAUUAAAAAAAAGAAAUUAGAUCAAUGCUUUCAGUUGCGCUUAUUUGAACAAGAUUGUGAAAAAAUGUUUGACUGGAUUUGUCAUAAUAGAGAAGGAUUUCUUGCUAAUUAUGUGGAGAUUGGACGUUCUUAUCAACUUGCUAAGAACUUUCAAGAGGAACAUAAACAUUUUACCAUGAGUUCAAUGAAUGUUUAUGUGAAUAUUAAUAAAACUCUUACAAUGGCUGCUAGAUUAUUAGAGACACAACAUUACGCAGCGGGUCACGUACGAGCUGUUGCGAGUCGAUUGGACAGAGCAUGGAAGGAAUUUGCUGCUGGUCUCGAUGAACGUACUGCUGUUCUUGGCCUAAGUGUAGUAUUCCAUCACAAAGCAGAACAAUACGUAGAUAGUGUUGCUGGUUGGAGUCAAGCUUGCGAUGCCAGCAAUCUGCCUAAUGAAAUUCCUGUUCUUGAAUCUCAUUUAAGACAGCAUCAAACUCUUUACGAAGCAAUGUGUCAAGCAUAUACAGAGGUGCAUAGUACCAGUAAGAAGCUUCUUUAUCAACUGGAUCAUCUUGUGCAAGUCUGUAACCAACCACAGGGAAUAGACCACACCAUCCGCAAACAUAGCCAAGACGGACAUAAUGCAGAAAGUCAUGGUGGCAUGAGUGGAAAUCCAGCCGCAGAUUAUAGUGAAGGUGCAUCCCAUGUGUUAGCAGUUAUUCAUCAAAUUUUAGGUCAUCAUAGAACAUUGGAAGCUCGUUGGCAUGCACGCAAAGUUAAAUUACAUCAACGUCUUGCUUUGAGAUUAUUUCAAGAAGAUGUAAAACAAGUUCUCGAUUGGCUAACUAAUCACGGAGAAGUUUUUAUUCGAAAAAAUACAGGUGUUGGACGAAAUCUUCAAAAAGCAAGAGUAUAUCAAAAAAGUCAUGAACAUUUUGAGAACGUUGCUCAGAAUACUUAUACGAAUGCAACAAAGUUGCUUACUGCGGCAGAGGAAUUAGCUCAUACAGGAGAAUGUGCUGCCGAUGAAAUAUAUGCUGUAGCACAAGAAUUGGAAUCUCAUGUUAGUAGAUUUGCAGCGAGAGUCGAACAACGGCGUCGCAGAUUAGAUCUGGCUGUAGUAUUUUAUACUCAUGAAAAAGAGCUAAGUGGUUGGGUGGACGAGUUGCGGCAAGAAUUGCAGCAAGAGGAAGUUGCAGAGAAUUUGGAAACAGCAGAAAGACUACUUGAUCAGUGUGCACAACACAGAGCGUCGUGUCUUGAAGCUUGUGCCUCGACCAUUGCACAAGGUGAAGCAUUACUUCAAGAACUACGAGAAUCUACAGAUGCACCCGAUUCUACGGGCUCUGUAACUGCUGUAGAAAGUGCUCUUGAUAGAUUGGCUGGUUUACGGCAAGAAUUAGAAGAAUUAUGGGCAACAAGAAAAUUAAGGUUAGAGUUGUGUUUGCGAUUGCGUGUUUUCGAGAGAGAUGCGUUAGAAGCCAGUGGACAACUUGAAAUGUGGGCACAAGACUUACAAGGUACUCCUCGUGAAGGUUCACCCGAACAGCUGUUACGUGUACAUAAUGACGGUGUAGCUCAUAUGCAAAAUACUACGUUUCAAGUGUUACAACAAGGCCAAGAACUUGCACAGGUUCUAGAACAAGCCGGAGUUUGUAUUAUGGCAGAUGGUCAGCAUAGUGCUACAGCAAGAGUUCAAGUGCUUCUUGAAUUUUUAAAUGAAAGAGAAAUGGAUGCAGAAGAUCUUGCGGAAAUGCGGAGAGUUCGAUUGGAACAAGCCGCACAAUUGGUGCAAUUGCAAACAGAUGCCACGCAUGUAGCUAAUUGGAUUAGAAACGGAGAAGCUAUGCUUUUAGCUUCCUUAAGGGUUCCAGAAAAUUUACAAGAUGCUGAACAACUACGGUUAGAACAUGAGCAAUUUCAAGUAGCUAUAGAAAAAACGCAUACUUCUGCUGUACAGGUGAAACAUAGAGCUGAUGCAUUAGUAAGCGCGAAUCAUUAUGACCCCAAAAGUAUUCGAGAAGUAGCUGAAGAUGUCACAAAAAGGUGGCAACAGUUGGUAACUUGUGCAGAAGAAAGGCAUAAAUUAGUAACCGCGAGUAUUAAUUUUUAUAAAACAGCGGAACAAGUUCGAUCGGUACUGGAUAGUUUAGAACGUGAAUAUAAAAGGGACGAAGAUUGGUGUUUUGGUGGAGAGAAAGGCGGCCAAGUACCUAAUCUUGUGUCUAAACAUCAGGAACAAAAAGAAGCGUUUUUAAAAGCAUGCACCUUGGUGCGAAGAACGGCCGAGACAUUCCUAAAAUACACUAAUCGCAGUCUACAAUUUUAUAAUUAUCAAGCUAAUAGCGUUGGGUCCGAGAACAAAGUUAAAAAUAUCUUAGAAGAAUUGUUAAGUAAAGAAAAUAAAGUACUGGAAUAUUGGACUCAACGAAAAAAACGCUUAGACCAGUGUCAUCAAUACGUUCUUUUUGAGCGUAGUGCAAAACAAGCAAUCGAAUGGAUAAGGGAAACUGGUGAAUUGUAUCUUGCAACACACACGAACGUGGGAAAAAAUCGUAUCGAAAACGAGCAAUUGUUACAAGAACAUAACGAAUUUAAAGGUGCAGCAAAGGAAACCAGGGAAAGAGUAAAAUUGCUGAUUCAGUUAGCAGACAAUUUAGUUGAAAAAGGACAUGCUCAUGCUGCUGUUAUUAAACAGUCUGUGGCGGAGGUAGAUCAGCGUUAUAAAGAUUUUAGCAUGCGAAUGAAUUACUAUAAGACGCAAAUUGAAGAUGAUUUGGGUAUACAAUCAGACGACGGCCAUAAAGAUUUAGCUAUAGACCGUAAUUCCGAUCCUUUAUUGGAGGAGAAAAUUAAAGGAAAAGAUUUAAAAGAAUUGAAUGAAGAGAAACGGCGAUCAGCUAGGCGAAAAGAGUUCAUUAUGGCCGAAUUAUUGCAAACCGAACGUACAUACGUUAAAGAUUUAGAAACUUGUAUUCGUUGUUUCUUAGAGGAAACGCGUAAUGGAAAAGGAAACGUACCAACAGGAUUGCAAGGUCGAGAAUCCAUCAUUUUUAGCAAUAUGGAAGAAAUACAUCAAUUUCAUUGUAAUAUAUUCCUUCGUGAAUUGGAAAAAUACGAAACCAUGCCCGAAGACGUUGGGCAUUGUUUUGUUACUUGGGCUCCAAAAUUUGAUAUGUACGUGACUUACUGUAAAAAUAAGCCAGAAAGUAAUCAAUUACUAGUUACGCAUGGUGGUACGUGGUUUGAAGAAUUACAAAGGAAACAAAAAGUUGAACAUCCAAUAGCCGCAUACCUCAUUAAACCAGUGCAAAGGAUCACAAAGUAUCAGCUUUUGCUUAAGGAUCUUCAAGCUUGCUGUCAGGAGGGACAAGGUGAAAUUAAAGAUGGAUUGGAAGUGAUGUUGAAUGUGCCUAAAAAAGCAAACGAUGCCUUACAUUUAAGCCUAUUGGAGGGUUGUGAUGUCAGGAUAGAUACUCUUGGAGAUGUAGUAUUACAAGAUUCAUUUACGGUAUGGGAUCCAAAGCAGCUGAUAAGAAAAGGCAGAGAUCGUCAUAUAUUUCUUUUCGAAUUAUACUUAUUAUUUAGUAAAGAAGUAAAAGAUUCAGCUGGAAAGGUAAAAUACAUUUACAAAAGUCGCUUGAUGACUUCCGAAUUGGGCGUCACUGAGCACAUUGAAGGAGACGAAUGUAAGUUUGCAGUAUGGACUGGAAGAGCACCUACCGGCGACACCCGUGUGGUUUUAAGAGCAAAUUCGAUGGAGGCGAAGCAAUUGUGGGUCAAGAGAUUGCGUGAAGUAAUUCAAGAAACGUACUUCAGCUUGAGUAUGCCGAAGAGUCCUGCCAAGAAGAGUUCGAGCCAACGAUCGAGUAGAGACCUGGAGGAAUGUGCAUCCUUGAACGAUAGUGUAGAAAAUUUGGACAGGAAUUCAUUGGCUUCAUUUGGUUCGACGAAUACAACGGAUUCGGACAAGACUGGCGUAACCGAAAUGACUUGGGUGGUUGCGGAUCAUCUAGCAGCACCAGGAUCUAGAGAACUGACGGUGACGAAGGGUCAACAAGUUGAAGUCUUAGAAAAUUGUAGCGGUAAUGGAAACGUCAGUGGCAUCGUUGCUACCGGUGAAUGGACAUUGGUACGUUUACCACUCGCUCCAGGACAAACAGAUCCACCAACAGAAGGGCUUGUACCUACGAGCGCUUUGAAACAACCACCAAGCAAUUCCUGUAAGACCUCACCAUCAAGAAAACCACCCAAUCAACAACAAACAUUGCUUCAGCAGCAGCAGCAGCAACUCAAUCAAUCUGUGAUCGGACAACAACAACUUGCGGCUAUAGUAACUGGUUCUACUGCAUCAUCAUCUCCAGUUUCGAAUUUAACACCGUCGAGCGAAGAAUCGGAAAUCAUCGGGAGCGAUGGUAGCGGCUCCGCUAGUACAAGUUCACCUGGAAACAAAAGACGCGGUUUUAGCGGGAGAAAGUGGCUACCACCUCCGCUGCGUAAGCUCAGCCAAGGCAAGGUCGAUAAGGUCGUUUCAACGGCGUCGUCGACUGCGUCAACGGCUGCUGCUGCUGCCACAGUUAACAGUGGUGGCAUUCCGCUAACGGCGACGUCUUUAACAACGGUGACGACAGCAACCACCACCACGACAACCGCUAUUUCUUCUAUUUCCGCUGCUACACCAGGAACUGUUACGCCAAUAGCACCUACGACGACUUUGGUUAAACAAACGACAACGGUGGUGGCAACGGUGACGCCAAGCGGUAAAAACAUUGGAUCCUUGAAAAAGAGCAGCUCUGACAAACGUUUCAAGCUACCAUCAGGAGCUGCUGAACAAAAACGUGCCGUUGCUGUUUCUGCUGGAAACAUCAGAAUCAGUUCCGAACUUGAAACUUUAACGGGAUCCGAAGAGGCUGAAAGAGAGGAAGAGGAGGAAGAGGAAGAAGAGGAGGAACACGGUGAAACUUCUGAAACGAUAUCUACAACUUACGACGACGGUGAAGGUAACGUCUUUCAUGAACAAAAUGGCACUGAGGAUGGAGAAGAUGACUUGGAAUUACCGCCUCCAAUGAAACCGAUUACCGAGCCGAUUUUAGUCGCUGCCGCAAAUGGUCCUCCUGGUUCAGCGAUACCCGACGAAUUACCUGGGAAAAGAGCAUCUGAAUGUUCUAGCAAAAUACUUGAUGGAGCCACCACGGCAGAUUUAGCAGAAAUCGAACAGAUCGUAAAGGAAAGGAUGGAACAACAUACCGAAAAUCAAGAAAGGCAUAGUCUGAUGCGAACGGAAAGAACAACAGCAGGCGAUAGAGGUUCAAGUGAUGGCGAAAAUAAUUAUGCUCGUGCCAUCAGUCCAUCUCUCGUUACUGAAGAAUGCGAUCCCGAAACUGCGGCUCUAACCAAAAGACAAUUUGUCAUUCGCGAAUUGGUUGAAACGGAAAGAGAUUAUGUCAACGAUCUUAAACAAAUUGUCGAAGGAUACAUGACGCUGAUGCGAGAUCCAGAGAGCGACAUUCCACUUCCUGAGGAUCUUCGAGGAGGAAAAGACAAAAUGGUAUUCGGUAACAUAGAAGCGAUCUAUGAAUGGCACAGAGACUUUUUUUUGAAAGCUUUGGAGAACUGCAUAAAAUGCCCGGAAGAACUCGGUCCUCUUUUUAAAAGAUAUGAAAGGAAAUUACACAUGUACGUUGUUUAUUGUCAAAAUAAACCCGUUUCUGAGUACAUCGUGUCCGAAUAUAUAUACACUUACUUCGAGGAACUGAGGCAGAAACUUAAACAUCGUCUGCAACUUUGCGAUUUGUUAAUAAAACCGGUGCAAAGGAUUACAAAGUAUCAAUUACUUCUUCGCGAGGCAUUACGUUUGACCGAACGUACUCAAAGAUUAUCGGAGAUCGAAGGACUUAGAGCAGCGGUUCAUGUUAUGCGAGUUAUUCCAAAAGCGGCUAACGACAUGAUGGAUGUGGGAAGGUUACAAGGUUUUGAUGGUAAAAUAACAGCACAAGGUAAACUUCUGCUACACGGGCCUUUGUUAGUGUCAGAAAUUUCGAGCGUACCAACGAGAGGAAAAGAGUGGCACGUAUUUCUUUUCGAGCAAAAUAUUAUCUUCAGCGAAGCCGUUGGUAAGAAGACUCAAUUCACCAGCCCAGCCUACAUAUAUAAAGCUCAUAUACAGGUAAACAAAAUGAGUCUCGAGGAUUCGUACGACGAUCCGGACAAAUUUGUGAUUCGAUCUACGGAUCCUCGAAAGCCCGGUCUAGGAUUUUAUUGCAGCGUAGUUGAAGAAAAUGGACCUCGCAGACAGGAAUGGGUAGAUACGAUCACUGCUAUCCUACAAACACAACGUGACUUUCUCAAGGCGUUACAGUCACCGAUUGCCUACCAAAAGGAACUUACCAAAGAUCCACUCCGAGUUCCAACAACGGAGCCAGUGGUUCGAGAGACCAUAUCAGUAGCCCCGACGCUUUCGACAGUAUCCCCCGGAACGAUGCACAAAGAAAAGAGUUUCCCUCCUCAGCAGAAGAUAACUCGACCGAUUCAAAGGACUCAAUACGGUGGUUUAGAUUGCGAAUUACCACGGACGCCGAGUCCGACGAAGAGUAGGCUUAACUUCCUCGAUGGAUUCAGGAAUACUCUACGCGCUCGAUCCCCAGUUCGUACCAAUUCGAUACCGCAAAGGGGCUCUUCUCCUUCUUGAUGUCUGUCGCUAACUGCUAUGUACUGCAUUACCUUCUGUCGUCGAAUCCACAAAUCCUCGAUCUUUUAUUGUUAGAGAAAUAAACCGAGCGAGGCAUUAUCAGAAAAAGCGUCGUUCCGGGUGCACGAGUAAGAUUGGCAGCCGACUGGGGUAAACUACGUGCCGGUGACGAACUCGUCGUUUCUCGUUUGGACGGCC